GACGAACGCUGGCGGCGUGCUUAACACAUGCAAGUCGAACGGAAAGGCCCUGCUUUUGUGGGGUGCUCGAGUGGCGAACGGGUGAGUAACACGUGAGUAACCUGCCCUUGACUUUGGGAUAACUUCAGGGAACUGGGGCUAAUACCGGAUAGGAGCUCCUGCUGCAUGGUGGGGGUUGGAAAGUUUCGGCGGUUGGGGAUGGACUCGCGGCUUAUCAGCUUGGUGGUGGGGUAGUGGCUUACCAAGGCUUUGACGGGUAGCCGGCCUGAGUGGGUGACCGGCCACAUUGGGACUGAGAUACGGCCCAGACUCCUACGGGAGGCAGCAGUGGGGAAUAUUGCACAAUGGGCGGAAGCCUGAUGCAGCAACGCCGCGUGCGGGAUGACGGCCUUCGGGUUGUAAACCGCUUUCGCCUGUGACGAAGCGUGAGUGACGGUAAUGGGUAAAGAAGCACCGGCUAACUACGUG
This 468-nucleotide ribosomal RNA is filed under the name uncultured bacterium. RNAcentral's name for it is "partial 16S ribosomal RNA". It matches the Rfam family "Bacterial small subunit ribosomal RNA", at positions 28 to 507 of the family's 1533-position model. The record is from RNAcentral.